GUGCUCACUUCAGCAGCACAGAGAUUGAAAUUGACAAUACAGAGAAGAUUAGCAUGGCCCCUGAGCAAGGAUGACAUGCAAAUUUGUGAAGCACUCCAUAUUUUU
Sorex araneus (European shrew) is the source of this 105-nucleotide small nuclear RNA. The record is from RefSeq and is a predicted model, not a curated record. NCBI's taxonomy places the organism in Eukaryota, Metazoa, Chordata, Mammalia, Eulipotyphla, Soricidae.